This 2698-nucleotide ribosomal RNA is filed under the name human gut metagenome. RNAcentral's name for it is "bacterial LSU rRNA". It matches the Rfam family "Bacterial large subunit ribosomal RNA". The record is from RNAcentral.
UCAAGCUACAAAGAGCGCAAGGGGAAUGCCUUGGCACCAGGAGCCGAAGAAGGACGCAGCAAUCUGCGAAAAGCCGCGGGGAGUCGAAAGCAGACAUUGAUCCACGGAUAUCCGAAUGGGGAAACCCGGCUGGGAGAAGCCCAGUCAACGUGCACUGAAUUCAUAGGUGUACGUGGGGAACCGCCUGAACUGAAACAUCUAAGUAGGGCGAGGAAAAGAAAUCAACCGAGAUUCCGCAAGUAGUGGCGAGCGAACGCGGAGGAGGCUAAACCGUGAGUAGCAAUAUUCGCGGGGUUUGGACAGCAUAAGGUACAACGGAUCUUAGCAGAAGUGCAUGGGACGGCACACCGUAGAGAGUGAUAGUCUCGUAUGCGAAAAGAGAAGUUGGCUGGCUGUAUCCAGAGUACCAGCGGACACGUGAAACCCGCUGGGAAUGUGGGGGGACCAUCCUCUAAGCCUAAAUACUCCCUGGUGACCGAUAGUGUAGAGUACUGUGAAGGAAAGGUGAAAAGAACCCCGGGAGGGGAGUGAAAAGAACCUGAAACCUUGUGCUUACAAGCACCGAGAGCCCGUCAAUGGGUGAUCGGGUACCUUUUGUAGAAUGGUCCGGCGAGUGAAUGUAACAAGCGAGGUUAAGUGCUUCAGGCACGGAGCCGCAGCGAAAGCGAGUCUGAAUAGGGCGAUUUAGUUUGUUGUAUUCGACCCGAAACCGGGUGACCUAGCCAUGUCCAGGCUGAAGUGAAGGUAAAACUUCAUGGAGGGCCGAACCCACUCCCGUUGAAAUGGUAGGGGAUGAGGUGUGGCUAGCGGAGAAAUUCCAAUCGAACCCGGAGAUAGCUGGUUCUCUCCGAAAUAGCUUUAGGGCUAGCCUCGACAUAACAUUACCGGAGGUAAAGCACUGAAUGGGCUAGGGGCCGAAAGGUUACUGAACCCUAUCAAACUAAGAAUGCCGGAUAAUGAUUGUCGGGAGUCAGACUGCGUGAGAUAAGUUUCGUGGUCAAAAGGGAAACAGCCCAGACCCACAGCUAAGGUCCCAAAACACGGUUAAGUGGAAAAGGAUGUGGGGUUGCACAGACAACCAGGAUGUUGGCUCAGAAGCAGCCAUUCAUUAAAAGAGUGCGUAAUAGCUCACUGGUCGAGUGGCCCUGCGCCGAAGAUUUAACGGGGCUAAAUCGUGUACCGAAGCUUGGGAUGCAUUUAUGCAUGGUAGGAGAGCGUUGUGUGAGGGGCGAAGUCAGAGCGGAAGCGCUGGUGGACUUCACACAAGUGAGAAUGCCGGAAUGAGUAGCGAGAUUUAUGUGAGAAUCAUAAAGGCCGAAAGACUAAGGAUUUAGAAGGAAGGUUCGUCCGCUUCUAGUUAGCCGGGAGCUAAGGCGAGGCCGAGAGGCGUAGUCGAUGCACAUACGGUUGAGAUUCCGUAGCCGCCUUAAGUUUAAGCAUGGGGACGCUCUUGAAGGGAAUGACCCGGGGGUUGGUAGACCCGGGCGUAAGGGACCGAAAAUAUAGUAGGGAAGCAUUUUUGGAUGGAGACGAGAAAAGCCAUGUGUAUACGAAGAGGCGCCCGUACCGCAAACCGACACAGGUAGAUCAGGAGAGAAUUCUAAGGCCAACGGGAGAAGGGUAGUUAAGGAACUCGGCAAAUUGACCCCGUAACUUCGGAAUAAGGGGUGCCUUCGAAAGAAGGCCGCAGUGAAUAGGCCCAGGCGACUGUUUAUCAAAAACACAGCUCUCUGCUAAAUCGAAAGAUGAUGUAUAGGGGGUGACACCUGCCCGGUGCUGGAAGGUUAAGAGGAAGGGUGCAAGCUCUGAAUUGAAGCCCCAGUAAACGGCGGCCGUAACUAUAACGGUCCUAAGGUAGCGAAAUUCCUUGUCGGGUAAGUUCCGACCCGCACGAAUGGUGUAACGAUCUGGGCACUGUCUCAACUACCCACCCGGCGAAAUUGUAGUACCGGUGAAGAUGCCGGUUACCCGCGGCAAGACGGAAAGACCCCAUGGAGCUUUACUGUAGCCUGAUAUUGGGUUUCGAUAUUUUAUGUACAGAAUAGGCGGGAGACUAUGAAGCAUUGGCGCCAGCUGGUGUGGAGUCACCUUUGGGAUACCGCCCUUAAGAUAUUGGAAUUCUAACCUGCGGCCGUGAAUCCGGUCGGGGGACAUUGUCAGGUGGGCAGUUUGACUGGGGCGGUCGCCUCCAAAAGAGUAACGGAGGCGCUCAAAGGUUCGCUCAGCACGGACGGAAACCGUGCCCCUGAGUGUAAACGCAAAAGCGAGCCUGACUGCGAGACUGACGGGUCGAGCAGGAACGAAAGUUGGAGUUAGUGAUCCGGCGGUAUGUGAAUGGAAAUGCCGUCGCUCAACGGAUAAAAGCUACCCUGGGGAUAACAGGCUGAUCUCCCCCAAGAGUCCACAUCGACGGGGAGGUUUGGCACCUCGAUGUCGGCUCAUCACAUCCUGGGGCUGAAUUCGGUCCCAAGGGUUCGGCUGUUCGCCGAUUAAAGUGGUACGCGAGCUGGGUUCAGAACGUCGUGAGACAGUUCGGUCCCUAUCUGUCGUGGGCGUAGGAUAUUUGAGGAGCGCUGUCCCUAGUACGAGAGGACCGGGAUGGACGCACCGCUGGUGCACCGGUUGUCAUGCCAAUGGCACGGCCGGGCAGCUAUGUGCGGAACGGAUAAACGCUGAAAGCAUCUAAGCGUGAAGCCGA